GCUUGUCUCAAAGAUUAAGCCAUGCAUGUCUUAGUGUAAAUAACUCUUAUGAAACUGCGAAUGGCUCAUUAAAUCAGUUAUCGUUUAUUUGAUGGUCCCUUACUACAUGGAUAACCGUAGUAAUUCUAGAGCUAAUACAUGCGCAAAUACCCAACUGCUUGUCGGACGGGUAGCAUUUAUUAGAUUGAAACCAAUGCAGGGCAACCUGGAAUAUGGUGAUUCAUAAUAACUCGCGGAUCGGUUUACCGAUGCAUCAUUCAAGUUUCUGCCCUAUCAGCUUUGGAUGGUAGGGUAUUGGCCUACCAUGGCUUUAACGGGUAACGGAGAAUUAGGGUUCGAUUCCGGAGAGGGAGCCUGAGAAAUGGCUACCACAUCCAAGGAAGGCAGCAGG
RNAcentral lists this ribosomal RNA (391 nucleotides) under uncultured Chrysophyceae. RNAcentral describes it as "partial small subunit ribosomal RNA". It matches the Rfam family "Eukaryotic small subunit ribosomal RNA", at positions 30 to 432 of the family's 1831-position model. The record is from RNAcentral. Lineage: Eukaryota; Chrysophyceae.